This 500-nucleotide ribosomal RNA is filed under the name uncultured bacterium. Its description in RNAcentral is "partial 16S ribosomal RNA". It matches the Rfam family "Bacterial small subunit ribosomal RNA", at positions 30 to 523 of the family's 1533-position model. The record is from RNAcentral.
AUUGAACGCUGGCGGCAGGCCUAACGCAUGCAAGUCGAGCGGAUGACGGGAGCUUGCUCCUUGAUUCAGCGGCGGACGGGUGAGUAAUGCCUAGGAAUCUGCCUGGUAGUGGGGGACAACGUUUCGAAAGGAACGCUAAUACCGCAUACGUCCUACGGGAGAAAGCAGGGGACCUUCGGGCCUUGCGCUAUCAGAUGAGCCUAGGUCGGAUUAGCUUGUUGGUGAGGUAAUGGCUCACCAAGGCGACGAUCCGUAACUGGUCUGAGAGGAUGAUCAGUCACACUGGAACUGAGACACGGUCCAGACUCCUACGGGAGGCAGCAGUGGGGAAUAUUGGACAAUGGGCGAAAGCCUGAUCCAGCCAUGCCGCGUGUGUGAAGAAGGUCUUCGGAUUGUAAAGCACUUUAAGUUGGGAGGAAGGGUUGUAGAUUAAUACUCUGCAAUUUUGACGUUACCGACAGAAUAAGCACCGGCUAACUCUGUGCCAGCCGCCGCUAUAA